This 109-nucleotide ribosomal RNA is filed under the name bacterium. The record is from RNAcentral.
CAAGGGGUCUAUACUGAGAGUGCUCCACCUGUUCCCAUAUCGAACACAGAAGUGAAAUCUCUCAAGGCCGAUGAUAUUGCUUCGGCGAGAAAGUAGGUAGACCUCUUAC